RNAcentral lists this ribosomal RNA (521 nucleotides) under uncultured endophytic bacterium. Its description in RNAcentral is "bacterial SSU rRNA". It matches the Rfam family "Bacterial small subunit ribosomal RNA", at positions 8 to 524 of the family's 1533-position model. The record is from RNAcentral.
AGAGUUUGAUCCUGGCUCAGAUUGAACGCUGGCGGCAGGCCUAACACAUGCAAGUCGAGCGGAUGAAGAGAGCUUGCUCUCUGAUUCAGCGGCGGACGGGUGAGUAAUGCCUAGGAAUCUGCCUGGUAGUGGGGGACAACGUCUCGAAAGGGACGCUAAUACCGCAUACGUCCUACGGGAGAAAGCAGGGGACCUUCGGGCCUUGCGCUAUCAGAUGAGCCUAGGUCGGAUUAGCUAGUUGGUGAGGUAAUGGCUCACCAAGGCGACGAUCCGUAACUGGUCUGAGAGGAUGAUCAGUCACACUGGAACUGAGACACGGUCCAGACUCCUACGGGAGGCAGCAGUGGGGAAUAUUGGACAAUGGGCGAAAGCCUGAUCCAGCCAUGCCGCGUGUGUGAAGAAGGUCUUCGGAUUGUAAAGCACUUUAAGUUGGGAGGAAGGGCAGUAAGCGAAUACCUUGCUGUUUUGACGUUACCGACAGAAUAAGCACCGGCUAACUCUGUGCCAGCAGCCGCGGUAAU